This 443-nucleotide ribosomal RNA is filed under the name uncultured bacterium. Its description in RNAcentral is "partial 16S ribosomal RNA". It matches the Rfam family "Bacterial small subunit ribosomal RNA", at positions 338 to 795 of the family's 1533-position model. The record is from RNAcentral.
CCUACGGGCGGCAGCAGUGGGGAAUAUUGGGCAAUGGGCGCAAGCCUGACGCAGCAACGCCGCGUGAAGGAAGAAGGCCUUCGGGUUGUAAACUUCGUUUGUCGGGGACGAAAACAGUGACGGUCCCUGACGACUCAGCCACGGCUAACUACGUACCAGCAGCCGCAGUAAUACGUAGGUGGCAAGCGUUAUCCGGAUUUACGGGGUGUAAAGGGCGUGUAGGCGGGAGAGAAAGUCAGACGUUAAAUUCCAGGGCUAAACCUUGGAACUGCGCUUGAAACUGUUCUUCUGGAGUGAGGGAGAGGCAGGAGGAAUUCCGGGUGUAGCGGUGAAAUGCGUAGAUAUACGGAGGAACACCAGUGGCGAAGGCGGCCUGCUGGACAGUAACUGACGCUGAGGCGCGAAAGCGUGGGGAGCAAACAGGAUUAGAUACCCGGGUAGUC